RNAcentral lists this ribosomal RNA (446 nucleotides) under uncultured bacterium. RNAcentral describes it as "bacterial SSU rRNA". It matches the Rfam family "Bacterial small subunit ribosomal RNA", at positions 29 to 507 of the family's 1533-position model. The record is from RNAcentral.
AACGAACGCUGGCGGCAUGCCUAACACAUGCAAGUCGAACGAAUCCCCCAGCUUCGGUUGGCGGGGUUAGUGGCGCACGGGUGCGUAACGCGUGGGAAUCUGCCCUUGGCUUCGGAAUAACAGUUAGAAAUGACUGCUAAUACCGGAUGAUGUCUUCGGACCAAAGAUUUAUCGGCCAGGGAUGAGCCCGCGUAGGAUUAGGUAGUUGGUGGGGUAAAGGCCUACCAAGCCGACGAUCCUUAGCUGGUCUGAGAGGAUGAUCAGCCACACUGGGACUGAGACACGGCCCAGACUCCUACGGGAGGCAGCAGUGGGGAAUAUUGGACAAUGGGCGCAAGCCUGAUCCAGCAAUGCCGCGUGAGUGAUGAAGGCCUUAGGGUCGUAAAGCUCUUUUACCCGGGAUGAUAAUGACAGUACCGGGAGAAUAAGCUCCGGCUAACUUCGUG